Molecule: ribosomal RNA, 424 nt
Filed under: uncultured Butyricicoccus sp.
Lineage: Bacteria; Bacillati; Bacillota; Clostridia; Eubacteriales; Butyricicoccaceae
Description: bacterial SSU rRNA
Rfam family: Bacterial small subunit ribosomal RNA
Source: RNAcentral
UGGGGAAUAUUGCGCAAUGGGGGAACCCUGACGCAGCAACGCCGCGUGAUUGAAGAAGGUCUUCGGAUUGUAAAAAUCUUUUAUCAAGGACGAAGAAGUGACGGUACUUGAUGAAUAAGCUCCGGCUAACUACGUGCCAGCAGCCGCGGUAAUACGUAGGGAGCAAGCGUUAUCCGGAUUUACUGGGUGUAAAGGGCGAGUAGGCGGAUUGGCAAGUUGGGAGUGAAAUGUCGGGGCUUAACCCCGGAACUGCUUCCAAAAACUGUUGAUCUUGAGUGAUGGAGAGGCAGGCGGAAUUCCCGGUGUAGCGGUGGAAUGCGUAGAUAUCGGGAGGAACACCAGUGGCGAAGGCGGCCUACUGGGCACCAACUGACGCUGAGGCUCGAAAGUAUGGGUAGCAAACAGGAUUAGAUACCCUGGUAGU